GAUGAACGCUGGCGGCGUGCCUAAUACAUGCAAGUCGAGCGAACGGAUUAGAAGCUUGCUCCUCUGACGUUAGCGGCGGACGGGUGAGUAACACGUGGAUAACCUACCUAUAAGACUGGGAUAACUUCGGGAAACCGUAGCUAAUACCGGAUAAUAUUUUGAACCGCAUGGUUCAAUAGUGAAAGACGGUUUUGCUGUCACUUAUAGAUGGAUCCGCGCUGCAUUAGCUAGUUGGUAAGGUAACGGCUUACCAAGGCAACGAUGCAUAGCCGACCUGAGAGGGUGAUCGGCCACACUGGAACUGAGACACGGUCCAGACUCCUACGGGAGGCAGCAGUAGGGAAUCUUCCGCAAUGGGCGAAAGCCUGACGGAGCAACGCCGCGUGAGUGAUGAAGGUCUUCGGAUCGUAAAACUCUGUUAUUAGGGAAGAACAAAUGUGUAAGUAACUAUGCACGUCUUGACGGUACCUAAUCAGAAAGCCACGGCUAACUACGUG
This 497-nucleotide ribosomal RNA is filed under the name uncultured bacterium. RNAcentral describes it as "partial 16S ribosomal RNA". It matches the Rfam family "Bacterial small subunit ribosomal RNA", at positions 28 to 507 of the family's 1533-position model. The record is from RNAcentral.